This 357-nucleotide ribosomal RNA is filed under the name Bufo stejnegeri (Korean water toad). RNAcentral describes it as "partial 12S ribosomal RNA". It matches the Rfam family "Bacterial small subunit ribosomal RNA", at positions 972 to 1522 of the family's 1533-position model. The record is from RNAcentral. Lineage: Eukaryota; Metazoa; Chordata; Amphibia; Anura; Bufonidae.
CACCAUUUUUAGUUAUUCAGCCUGUAUACCUCCGUCGUCAGCUUACCACGUGAGCGCCAAUUAGUGAAGGUGAUGUUUAUUCACCAACACGUCAGGUCAAGGUGCAGCAAAUGAAAUGGAAAGAGAUGGGCUACACUUUCUAAAUUAGAAGAAACGAAAAACUAUUUAUGAAACCUAGUUAGAAGGCGGAUUUAGCAGAAAAAAGGAAUCAGCACAUCCAUUUUAACCCGGCACUGGGGUGUGUACACACCGCCCGUCACCCUCUUCAAAGCUAUCAGCCUAGUCCUUAACAAACUAAAGUACGAUUGAAGAGGCAAGUCGUAACAUGGUAAGUAUACCGGAAGGUGUGCUUGGAAA